GUUUUAAUAAUUUAAUAAAAAUAUUAGUUUUGUAAACUAAACUUAGGAAUCAUUAAUCCUUUAAAACA
RNAcentral lists this transfer RNA (68 nucleotides) under Bothrogonia yunana. RNAcentral's name for it is "tRNA-Thr". Lineage: Eukaryota; Metazoa; Arthropoda; Insecta; Hemiptera; Cicadellidae. The record is from RNAcentral.